CAGCAGCGUCAGAGACCAGCCCUUCGUUCACACAGACAACACACAGCAGGAGUUUCUACUGUUAUUACUGCAGUAGUUGAUGUAUGCUCCUUGACAUGUCACAGCAGCUCUGAAUAGUACUUCAGAUACUUCUUUUCUUUCAGUUUUGCCUCAUUUGCUGCAGUUCACUCAGCAACAUGCUUCAGCCCGUGAUCCUCCUGUUUGUGCUGGGGACCUGCAGUGCCGUAGAAAACCCCGGGAUUGAAAUCACUGUGAACAACAAGGGGCUUCAGUACGGAAAACAUGCAGGUGCUGACUGGAUCCAGGGGAUUUUGGGAAACAUCACCCUCCCUUUUAUGGAUGGCAGAAUUCGCGUCGGGUGUUUUAGUAGUUUAUACUACACCUUUACAGACACCAGAAUAAGGAAAUGUGACCUUCCAGAACCAUCUGUUGAGUUUUCUCCAGAGGCUGCAGGACUGAAUAUGUCCAUAUCAGGCCUCAGUGUUGCACUGACCGGAGAGUGGAUGGCAAGCUUCAGCUUCCUCCAAAGCGUUGGAUCCUUCAACAUGGCCUUAUUUAGUGUGGAUGUGACGUCUGUGGUGAAGCUGGACAGAGACAACAAUGGACAUCUGUCUGUCUCCAGUGUCAGCUGUGAGGCUCAUGUUGAAAAUGUGGACAUUAGUCUGUCUGGUGGAGCCAGUUGGGUGUUCCAGGCCUUGAUGAACCGGCAUAAAUCACAAUUCAAACAAAACAUCGAAGACGGCAUUUGCCCUCAAGUGGAGAAGUCAAUUGCAAACCUGGAGCACUACCUGCAGGUCAUGAAUGUUUCCUUUGAUGUAGAUCACACUCUUGCAGUGAACCUCUCUCUCACUGCUUCACCCGACAUCAAUCCUUCAAGUUUGAAUGUAGGACUCAAGGGAGAAUUCUUCAGUAUUCAAACCCAUAAUGAUCCACCGUUUGAGGCUCAGCCUUUCACCGUGCCUGUGCAGGGAGACUACAUGUUUUCAGUGGUGCUGUCAGAAUACACUGUCAACUCUGCCUUGUAUGGAUAUUACUCAGCUGGACUAUUCAACAUAUUCAUCAAUGAUAGCAUGAUCCCUCCAGAUUUUCCUGUGCAUCUCAACACCAGCUCCAUGGGACCAUAUAUCCCCCAGCUCCCCAAGGCCUUACUGGGUCUGCAGAUGAAUCUGCAGGUUAAUGCCACAUCCGUUCCCAUGGUAACCUUCCAACCCGAUUGGGCCAAACAGAGCUUCCACGCCACUGCUGAAGCGUUUGCUGUUCAGCCGAACGGCACCCAGACACCACUGUUCCAGCUCAGAGCUGACUCAGCAUUCAGUGGUCAGUCAUGGAUUGAUGCUGGAAAAGUCAAAGGGAACGUUUCAGUGGACAACUUUACACUGACACUGAUAAGCAGUGACGUCGGCCCCGUAAAUACUAAAACCUUGGCAAAGAGUACAAGAGAAGGAAUUGAGAUGAUAUUGACGAGAGUGAACGAGGCCCUCAGUAGAGGUCUAGAUCUACCCAGACUGAAACGAGCAAAGUUUGUCAACUCAGUGCUGAAGGUGGAGCAGGGAUUCGUAUCCUUCUUCUCAGACGCUGAGGUCUGGCCGACAGACAGAGGUUUCAACCGACCCAAACACACACAUGAGUUUUUCUAACACUGAAAGCCCUCGACUGUAAGACAAAGUUUGCACUGGAUCCUGACUGUAAUGUUCUCACAGCGUCAUCUUGACAGGAAUAAAGAACACGGAAAUGAGUUUAGUUGUGAGAAGAAGCUGCUGCGUUUACACCGUCAGUCACUCAGGCAGAAGACCAGACAAGGAAGACAAGGAAGCAUGAAACGACGGGGAGUUCAACAGGCUGUUAGAGAGAAGACUUCACUGUGGUGUCACAGAUGAUGCUUUCUAAAAUCAAUAAACAAAAUACAGUUUCUCCACAGUCAAAACAAACA
This is an RNA transcript of Cynoglossus semilaevis (tongue sole), 1930 nucleotides long. It is a transcript of the gene named BPI fold containing family C, like, with no coding region annotated. The transcript is spliced from 16 exons. The record is from RefSeq and is a predicted model, not a curated record. NCBI's taxonomy places the organism in Eukaryota, Metazoa, Chordata, Actinopteri, Pleuronectiformes, Cynoglossidae.